ACUCAAAGGAAUUGACGGGGGCCCGCACAAGCGGCGGAGCAUGCGGAUUAAUUCGAUGCAACGCGAAGAACCUUACCUGGGUUUGACAUGCACCGGGCGGCAUCAGAGAUGGUGCUUCUUUUUGUCGGUGUGCAGGUGGUGCAUGGCUGUCGUCAGCUCGUGUCGUGAGAUGUUGGGUUAAGUCCCGCAACGAGCGCAACCCUCGUUCCAUGUUGCCAGCGCGCUCUUCGGGGUGGCGGGGACUCAUGGGAGACUGCCGGGGUCAACUCGGAGGAAGGUGGGGAUGACGUCAAGUCAUCAUGCCCCUUAUGUCCAGGGCUUCACGCAUGCUACAAUGGCCGGUACAAAGGGCUGCGAUGCCGUGAGGUGGAGCGAAUCCCAAAAAGCCGGUCUCAGUUCGGAUUGGGGUCUGCAACUCGACCCCAUGAAGUUGGAGUCGCUAGUAAUCGCAGAUCAGCAACGCUGCGGUGAAUACGUUCCCGGGCCUUGCACACACCGCCCGU
Molecule: ribosomal RNA, 503 nt
Filed under: uncultured bacterium
Lineage: Bacteria
Description: partial 16S ribosomal RNA
Rfam family: Bacterial small subunit ribosomal RNA
Source: RNAcentral